This 433-nucleotide long non-coding RNA is filed under the name Homo sapiens (human). RNAcentral describes it as "HSALNT0296921". The record is from RNAcentral. Lineage: Eukaryota; Metazoa; Chordata; Mammalia; Primates; Hominidae.
UUAUCCUUGAGCCUAAGUAGGGAAAGGGAAAGAGAGGGAGAAACAAGGGCAGCGGGAGAGGGGUGUGAGCUGUGUGGUGUGUGAGGAGGAGAGGGGUGUGAGCUGUGUGGUGUGUGAGGAGAGGGGUGUGAACUGUGUGGUGUGUGAGGAGAGGGGUGUGAGCUGUGUGGUGUGUGAGGAGAGGGGUGUGAGCUGUGUGGUGUGUGAGGAGGAGAGGGGUGUGAGCUGUCUGGUGUGUGAGGAGGAGAGGGGUGUGGGCUGUGUGGUGUGUGAGGAGGAGGGGUGUGAGCUGUCUGGUGUGUGAGGAGAGGGGUGUGGGCUGUGUGGUGUGUGAGGAGAGGGGUGUGAGCUGUGUGGUGUGUGAGCAGGAGAGGGGUGGGGUCUGUGUGGUGUGUGAGCAGGAGAGGUGCAUGAGCUGUAUGGUGUGUGUGGC